RNAcentral lists this long non-coding RNA (1278 nucleotides) under Homo sapiens (human). Its description in RNAcentral is "HSALNT0147080". Lineage: Eukaryota; Metazoa; Chordata; Mammalia; Primates; Hominidae. The record is from RNAcentral.
UAGUCAGCCAGUGGAAAGAUUUAGACAGAGAGAUAUGACCAGACUUGUGUUUUAGAAGAAUGGCUUUGGCAGCUGUAUGAGCAAAGGGCUUUCAGGAAGGAAGAACAAAUGCAGGGAGACAAGCAUUUAUAGCUUCCUGGAGUCUGCUUUGAGCAACUGCUUUCCCUUGCCUUACCUUCCAAUACUCAAGCUCUUCAGCAACCUCACUGAGGCUGCCUGCCUGCAGAGCACAUGCUGUCCCAGGAGAGGUCCAGUUGGGAGGGGCUGGAGAGGUGCUAAGCCAAGAGGAUCCAGGGAGAGCAGAGGCAGCUCAACAAGAAGGGGUGUUAAGGGCCUUGCUCAGAAGAAGGCUGGCUCCGAGGAGCACAGAGCGGUUUGGCUGGAAGAUGAAGAAACCAAGGCACAGACUCAUGUCCAGGACCCUAAAACCAGUGCAUGGUGGAGCCAGCAUUCAAACCCAGCACACGGGACGCCAGAGUCCAUGCUCCUAACCACUACAUUGUGAUGCCUUGAAACUCAUGGCAGAGAAGAGUUUGAGAGAAAGGUUUCAGAAAGACAAAAGUAGAAAUCCUGAAAGACUCUGAGCAUAAAGUUAAUGCUGCAGCAAUAGAUUUAGAAAAAUGAUGCAUGAUGAUCUAAGUGGAAGGUGUGACAUACCCCCAAAGAAAUGCUGAAUUCCCCAGUCACAGGCAGAGAAAGUAAAGGUGGGGCCUGCUGAGCACGUCAGAGCAGAAUGGGCAUGGCAUAGCUCCGUCAAGUCUCCCAGAGCUCCAGAGCAGCACAAAAAGGCAUCCAAAUAUUUCCUGUGCUUCCCUGUCCUCUCACCUCAAGAGGGAUGCAAAAGACAAGGCUGGAGUGACCUCAAGCAGUCUAGCAGUCUUGAAAGUUGUAUGAACUGGAAACACAAGUCCAGAGGAGAACAAGGCCAUCUUGAGGAUACCAGCAAGGAUAGAUCACUAUGCCCGGAAGCCAAUAGGAGCCAUCACAAAUAAACAAGAAUUUCUGAGGACAAAGGUCCCCCUCUUGAUAGACAUCAAAGUAUGAUGACUUAAGGCCCCAGAACUUAGAGGCAACUCAGGGAGAAAAUGGUGGGGGAAAAAAAACUCCGGAACAGACUUAAUAAAUAAUUGACCAAAGGUAGCCUGAGUUGAAUAUGAUUGAAAUUAAGUUCAGUUACAGAAUAAUGUUAUAUUUGUUUUUUGCACAGAGGAUUUUGCAGCCUGAGACUUUUACCUGCUUGGCUAUAAAGAAAUAAAACUUGUUUACCUUUGCAAACAG